UUACCUAGUGUUCGAGCUUCUAUGGAACCACCUUAUCCCAUCCCGAACUAAGAAGUGAAACGUAGAAGGAACGAAGAUACUGAGAGGGAGGCCUCUUGGGAAAAUAGUUUAAUGCUAGGUAA
This 122-nucleotide ribosomal RNA is filed under the name Marvania geminata. Lineage: Eukaryota; Viridiplantae; Chlorophyta; Trebouxiophyceae; Chlorellales; Chlorellaceae. The record is from RNAcentral.